Molecule: long non-coding RNA, 960 nt
Organism: Armigeres subalbatus
Lineage: Eukaryota; Metazoa; Arthropoda; Insecta; Diptera; Culicidae
Exons: 4
Source: RefSeq, a predicted model, not a curated record
ACCACCACUACAAUAACCACGUCAGAGGCAGAAAACUAAAGCACCGUCGUAUCGCACAUUUGAGUCGUUCGUUGUCCGCAGGCCAGAAGGGUCGUGCCCACGAUUGUGCGUGAUAGUGCCAGUGAUAAAUCCACGUUCUCGGGUGCCAGUGGAAAAGGGCACGCCGACACCAUUGAAAAAUCCUCCUGGCAACUAUUUGCAGCGUUUCCGAAUAGGAACAAUCAGUUUGAUUGAUUGGGACACGUGGCCCACUACCUCCGGAUUCGUACUGGAAAUAAGUAUCACGGAUAGGGACGCAUGCGACACUUUCCCGCUGACGACCUUACUAUAGCCUGCAGCGAAACGGGCAUUUGCAACUACGGAAAUAAGUGCCAGUAGCAUCGUGCACUCGGCGAAUAACGAGUUUCCGCAUCAAUCCGAACCGGUUGGUCAAAAAGGUCGGCGUCAGUGUCUAAUUGACUGCGAGACGGAAAAUACCCCGAAAGGGGUGUUUUUUUAGACAGCUGCAGCCCGGAUUCGAUUAGCGGUGAGGCUCUGCCAGAAGCGGACCGUAACGAGGCAGUGAUCUCCACGAGAGCAGGAAGGCUAAGAACGGGACAGCCCGGGAAGCGUGGCAUCGACAAGCGGUCAUUCGGUCCUGCGUUUGUGAAGGAGCCCAACGAGACCAGACGGGAAUUCGAGGCUUGUUCUCGCGCCACGACCACGCGCGGCGAGCGCAAGGCGGACGGAUCGUUUCCCGCCAACCGACGAGCCGAAGAAUCGGCCAAUGUUGUCAUGUUGCCACUGCCGACAUGGUCAAGGGGAUGCGGCGUAGGUUUAGCGUAAGCUCCGGUACCGUGAGUAACAAUCCCUUAGUCUUAAGACAAAGAAAAUGUUAUCUUGGUUCAAGGAACCACCAUUUGCUAGGGAAAGCAUAGGGACAUAAAAUGUGCGUUUCAAUACACUGAUGUUAAGCUAAAA